RNAcentral lists this ribosomal RNA (606 nucleotides) under uncultured bacterium. RNAcentral's name for it is "bacterial SSU rRNA". It matches the Rfam family "Bacterial small subunit ribosomal RNA", at positions 335 to 937 of the family's 1533-position model. The record is from RNAcentral.
CACUACGGGUGGCUGCAGCAACGAAUAUUCCGCAAUGGGCGAAAGCCUGACGGAGCGACGCCGCGUGAGGGAUGAAGUCCCUUCGGGAUGUAAACUUCAAUAGUACGCCAGGAACCAAUCCUGGCUAAUAAUCAGGAAAGUUGACCAGCGUACGAAAGAGGCGGCUAACUCCGUGCCAGCAGCCGCGGUAAUACGGAGGCCUCGAGCGUUGUUCGGAAUCACUGGGCUUAAAGCGCGUGUAGGCGGAACGGUAAGUACUGAGUGAAAGCCCCGGCUUCAAUCCGGGAACUGCUUGGUAUACUGUCGUUCUUGAGGCAGGUAGGGGUCACUGGAACCUUAGGUGGAGCGGUGAAAUGCGUAGAUAUCUAAGGGAACGCCUGUGGCGAAAGCGGGUGACUGGGCCUGUCCUGACGCUGAGACGCGAAAGCGUAGGGAGCAAACGGGAUUAGAUACCCCGGUAGUCUACGCCGUAAACGAUGCGCACUAGGUUCGAGUAGCUCUGACGCUUCUCGAGCCGAAACAAAAGCGUUAAGUGCGCCGCCUGGGGAGUACGGCCGCAAGGCUAAAACUCAAAGGAAUUGACGGGGGCUCACACAAGCGGUGGAG